RNAcentral lists this ribosomal RNA (313 nucleotides) under Candovia sp. D AC-2020. RNAcentral's name for it is "partial small subunit ribosomal RNA". The record is from RNAcentral. Lineage: Eukaryota; Metazoa; Arthropoda; Insecta; Phasmatodea; Lonchodidae.
GGAUUUAAUAUAUUUAUUUUUGGGUAAAAUUUAAAUUUCUAUUAAUUUUUAUUUGAUUCUUUGAAAUAUAUAAUAUAAACUAGGAUUAGAUACCCUAUUAUAAUAUAUUUAAAUUUUAGGCCUGGGUAGUAUUAGUUAUGUUCUUUAAACCUAAAGAAUUUGGCGGUGUUUUAGUCUAUUUAGAGGAAUUUGCUCCUUAAUCGAUAGUCCUCGUUAUAUCUUACUUUAAUUUGUUUAUCAGUAUGUAUACCGCCGUUAUUAGUUUAUUUUAUUAGGAUUAUAAUUUACUUAAUUCUUUAUUUUGAUUUAUUUC